AAGACUAUACUUUCAGGAUCAUUUCUAUAGUGCUGUACUUGAGAAAUGUGUCUAAAGUGGUAGAUCUCGCUAUCCAUGAUGACGAUAAAGAUAUUCCCGUUCAGAGCAUGAAUCUGGUGGUUAGAAGUGACUUUGCUCAUUUUCUUCACCUUUGAUGACUGUCCCUUGUUCUUCAAUGAACGUGGAUGAAGGGAAUAGUUCUGAGUGGA
Molecule: small nucleolar RNA, 209 nt
Filed under: Oncorhynchus tshawytscha (Chinook salmon)
Lineage: Eukaryota; Metazoa; Chordata; Actinopteri; Salmoniformes; Salmonidae
Description: Small nucleolar RNA U3
Rfam family: Small nucleolar RNA U3
About the family: Small nucleolar RNAs (snoRNAs) are involved in the processing and modification of rRNA in the nucleolus. There are two main classes of snoRNAs: the box C/D class, and the box H/ACA class.
Source: Rfam by way of RNAcentral